RNAcentral lists this unclassified non-coding RNA (329 nucleotides) under soil metagenome. Its description in RNAcentral is "partial contains 5.8S ribosomal RNA, internal transcribed spacer 2, and large subunit ribosomal RNA". The stretch from base 1 to 120 matches the Rfam family "5.8S ribosomal RNA", at positions 35 to 154 of the family's 154-position model. The record is from RNAcentral.
GAUGAAGAACGUAGCGAAAUGCGAUAAGUAAUGUGAAUUGCAGAAUUCAGUGAAUCAUCGAAUCUUUGAACGCACAUUGCGCCCCCUGGUAUUCCGGGGGGCAUGCCUGUCCGAGCGUCAUUACAACCCUCAAGCUCAGCUUGGUGUUGGGCCCCGCCGCCCCGGCGGGCCCUAAAGUCAGUGGCGGUGCCGUCCGGCUCCGAGCGUAGUAAUUCUUCUCGCUCUGGAGGUCCGGUCGUGUGCUCGCCAGCAACCCCCAAUUUUUUUCAGGUUGACCUCGGAUCAGGUAGGAAUACCCGCUGAACUUAAGCAUAUCAAUAAGCGGAUGA